RNAcentral lists this transfer RNA (72 nucleotides) under Chelonia mydas (Green sea turtle). It matches the Rfam family "tRNA". Rfam says of the family: Transfer RNA (tRNA) molecules are approximately 80 nucleotides in length. The record is from Rfam by way of RNAcentral. Lineage: Eukaryota; Metazoa; Chordata; Testudines; Cheloniidae.
AGCUGUAUGGUCUAGUGGUUAGGGCACUAGCUGAGGACUUUGAAGAGCUGGGUUCAAGUCCUGGUGCGGCCA